GAUGAACGCUGGCGGCGUGCCUAAUACAUGCAAGUCGAGCGAACGGACGAGAAGCUUGCUUCUCUGAUGUUAGCGGCGGACGGGUGAGUAACACGUGGAUAACCUACCUAUAAGACUGGGAUAACUUCGGGAAACCGGAGCUAAUACCGGAUAAUAUUUUGAACCGCAUGGUUCAAAAGUGAAAGACGGUCUUGCUGUCACUUAUAGAUGGAUCCGCGCUGCAUUAGCUAGUUGGUAAGGUAACGGCUUACCAAGGCAACGAUGCAUAGCCGACCUGAGAGGGUGAUCGGCCACACUAGAACUGAGACACGGUCCAGACUCCUACGGGAGGCAGCAGUAGGGAAUCUUCCGCAAUGGGCGAAAGCCUGACGGAGCAACGCCGCGUGAGUGAUGAAGGUCUUCGGAUCGUAAAACUCUGUUAUUAGGGAAGAACAUAUGUGUAAGUAACUGUGCACAUCUUGACGGUACCUAAUCAGAGAGCCACGGCUAACUACGUG
This 497-nucleotide ribosomal RNA is filed under the name uncultured bacterium. Its description in RNAcentral is "partial 16S ribosomal RNA". It matches the Rfam family "Bacterial small subunit ribosomal RNA", at positions 28 to 507 of the family's 1533-position model. The record is from RNAcentral.